Long non-coding RNA from Camarhynchus parvulus, 421 nucleotides. The record is from Ensembl. Lineage: Eukaryota; Metazoa; Chordata; Aves; Passeriformes; Thraupidae.
CAAUGCCGCUACGUCACCUGCGUAACUCGGCACAAGAAUAGCAUAGGCGGCAGCGGGCGGCGCGUCGUGAGGGGAGAUGGCGGGACAGAGGCUCCCUCACGGCACCGCUGGGCCGAGCCCUCAGGCAGCCGGGAUGAGGAGCCCACGAUCCUUCAUGCAGUUCUUUAUCCUCGAAUACCUUCCUGCCAUAGCAGCCCUUCACAGAGUGCUCAUCUUUUCCUCUCAGACCGUGUUCAGCUCACCAGAGUUGCUUGAUUAAGAUGCAGUUUCCACAUCAAUGCAGUGGAUGCUGCUGAGGAGGAACCACCUCAGUUUGAUCUUUGUAAACUGCUGGUGCUCAGCCUCCAUGGACAAUUCUGGCAGGGCACUUGAAUAAGGCUGCAAAGGUAAUUGUAUGAUUCAUUUUACAAUCUGCCAACAA